AAUCUUUGAACGCACAUUGCGCCCUCUGGUAUUCCGGGGGGCAUGCCUGUUCGAGCGUCAUUACAACCCUCAAGCUCUGCUUGGUAUUGGGCUCGCCCUUCAGGGCUUGCCUCAAAGUCAGUGGCGGCUACCGUCCGACCUUCAGCGCAGUACUAUUCGUCGCUGUUAGGGAAGGCCUACAACCCGUCAUCACAACCCCCACUUUACAAGGUUGACCUCGGAUCAGGUAGGGAUACCCGCUGAACUUAAGCAUAUCAAUAAGCGGAGGAAAAGAAACCAACAGGGAUUGCCUCAGUAACGGCGAGUGAAGCGGCAAAAGCUCAAAUUUGAAAGCUGGCUCCUUCGGGGUCCGCGUUGUAAUUUGUAGAGGAUGCUUCGGGCGCGGCUCCGGUCUAAGUUCUCUGGAACGAGACGUCAUAGAGGGUGAGAAUCCCGUAUGUGACCGGCUGCCUGUGCCCAUGUGAAGCUCCUUCGACGAGUCGAGUUGUUUGGGAAUGCAGCUCAAAAUGGGAGGUGUACUCCUUCUAAAGCUAAAUAUUGGCCAGAGACCGAUAGCGCACAAGUAGAGUGAUCGAAAGAUGAAAAGCACUUUGGAAAGAGAGUUAAACAGUACGUGAAAUUGUUGAAAGGGAAGCGCUUGCAAUCAGACUUGCGCGGCGUCGAUCAACCUGGGUUCUCCCUGGUGCACUCGGCGCCGCUCAGGCCAGCAUCAGUUUCGGCGGUGGGAUAAAGGCUGAGGGAACGUGGGUCACCUCGGUGACCGUUAUAGCCCUCGGUGCAAUGCCGCCUGCCGGGACUGAGGACCGC
This 807-nucleotide ribosomal RNA is filed under the name Leotiomycetes sp. genotype 507. RNAcentral describes it as "eukaryotic LSU rRNA". The stretch from base 213 to 807 matches the Rfam family "Eukaryotic large subunit ribosomal RNA", at positions 1 to 600 of the family's 3401-position model. The record is from RNAcentral. Lineage: Eukaryota; Fungi; Ascomycota; Leotiomycetes.